Chelonoidis abingdonii (Abingdon island giant tortoise) is the source of this 1694-nucleotide non-coding RNA. Lineage: Eukaryota; Metazoa; Chordata; Testudines; Testudinidae. The record is from RefSeq and is a predicted model, not a curated record.
CAUUUUCAUUGUUUACCUGGAACUCCUGGUGAGCCCUUUUGACCUUCCAGUCCAUUCAAACCAUCUAAUCCAGGCAACCCUGAUAAACCUUACAAGUAUUGUAAACAUUAUUAGAAGCAUGACCCAAAAAAACUUGAAAAUGUUCAUUUAACGAAAGUAAAUACAUAAAACUUGACAAUACAUUUCUGAUUCAGUACAGUGUUUGCUGGAAGUGUUUUGACAACUGAAGAAUGAACUACAUCAUUAACAGCUGAAGCCUGUUUUGAAAAAGGAGCAUCAUUUCUAGAUUGCUGGAUAGUGAAGGAAAUAUGAAAGCAGCAGAGGAAGUUUCUAACACAUUUGUCAACACUUCAUUAUAACAUUAACACUGGGGCUAAAAUGAUUUCCAUAAAAUGAAUGAAUGAAGUUAGCUGCAUAAACCUAAUAAAAUGCCUGCUCCUAAAGAAGAACAGGACACUUCUGCAACUAAGAAGUUUUCACUAUCAGGUGUGUAAAUACCUUUUCAAAUGGAGGGCAAUUUGGAAAUCCUUGUCAUUGCAGCAUGACUCCCAGUGCUGUAGCUAAUAUGUAUACUGUUGUGUGCAACACAAUAAACUGUUUUCCUACAGAUUACACAGCAACAAGGAAUUUGUUAUUGUAUUAUAUCAGCACCCCCUACCUUCCCAUAGAUAAUCAGAAAAAGCUUUCAUGUAAACCUCGGUUUUCAGUUUUGAACUGUCCAGGUCUGCCGUAGACUGAAACUGAAAAAUUGAAUGUUUUCUUUACAAAAAUUGAUUGUUCCCUUUUGGGAAAAUUUAUUAUGGACUCAAGGGUGGCUUUGACUUGAGCCCCAAGUCUGGGGCAGUAUGUGGUACCUCAGGAGCAGUUUAGGAAGCAGAUUAUGAGCACCUAGUAAAAAUAAACAAGCUAGCUUCAUUUCUGAUUAUAUAAUUUAUCUUAGUAUAAUGCUGAUAUAAUAUAUGCUAAAUUUUAAUUAGCUACAAUACAUAACAUUUAUAUUGUAUCCUUUAAGGGGGAAGAGAUUUUUAGAUGCACAGUUUUUUCAAUCUAAACACAGUGAUUGCCAUGAAAGAUGUAAUUUAUCAUUGAUUGGAAGUAUUUUUAAAUGUAAUCUGCCAAUAGAUCAUCUAUCUUGCAAACAGUAUUUAUUUUGUUAUCACAUUUUGAUAAAAUGCACCAAUUAUAUGAGACUUCCUAGAUUUGAACUGGCCACCUUUUUCAGUAUUAAUGUUUUCCACUUCAGUGUGCUCUGCUAUUCGUAUUCAUGUUUGCUGUAUGCAGAGUAACAGUGGCACUACAUGGCCAGAAAAUAAAUGACAGUGUAACUGAAGCGUUAGUGAAAUAUCUAUCUUCAGAGAAUUUUACUGUUCCUGUGUCAAACUCUGCCCUCCGUUACACCAGUUGAACCAGAAUUUAAGGUUUAUGUCUCUGCCUCCUUAUUUACUUUAGAUUGUAGCCUGAUUUCUUUAGCCAACAUUUGUGCUUUAAGGGUGGGAUUUUCAAACAUGCCUAACUCUUCUAACUUCUGACAUCAAAGGGGAGUUUUACUAUUGAUUUCAAUGGGAGCAGACUUAGGCCAAUGCUAAGCACUUUUUAAAAUCCUCUCUAUUUUCAGUUACAUUUGUUAUUGCACAAAAUUCCCAGUAAUUUCUGACACCAUUACUUGAACUGUAAUGUGUGACUAAUGCUGCACU